GCCGCUGCGCCCCGAGACCCAGGCCCCUGCCGCGGCCGAGUCUCGGCUCCGGGCCUUGCUGCAAACUUGGCCAUCCAAAGAAUGGCGUCCAUUUACAUAAUGCUUUGUUUGCGUUUUGCAACUCUGCUUUCGGUUAGACCCACAGCACCCCCACCUCCUGCCUUUGACUGUUUGGGGUCCCCCCCGCCACCCCACGGCUGACUCGUUAGAGUUGGGGGCAGCGGUGUGGGGGGUGUGCGGGCCCCGCGUGUGGAGGGGCUUGCGGCGCCGUUGGAGCGCGGCCGGGAAGCCCUCUCAGCCUUUCCGCCUCCGCGCCCCGCGUCUCCGGGGGCGGCCCUUGGCGGCGUCCGCCAUCUUGCAGCACCUUCCCUGCCGCGUUGCUCGCGCAGAGGAAAUGUCGCUCGAGACGCCGGCGCGUUCGAGUUAACGGUUUUUUUACCCUCCCCAUCCCCCGCAUUUCUUCCUCCGGCUAAGUCAGACGAGAACGGAGCUUGUGCUCGACGUUCGUCAAGCUUCCUCGGGGAAAGGCUAACGUGGCGCGUCCCCGUUUCCCCCACCCCCCGCUUUAACCCACGCGGGCGGCCGCCAUGUUUUCUGAUCACAAAAUGGCGACACGUGGCCUCGAUCUGUUCCUAACGAGAAGUUGGGGUGGGCCCGAAAGCUCUAGAAUGCACACCCCCGCCCUGGUCCCUCCCCGCACCACAGGUUUUAUGAUCACUCGGGAUGGAGUCCUACAGUUUGGUCCAAAGCCCGCUGGAUCGAUUUUAAUCCGUUCUCCAGCCCCUUUCAUUUGAAACGGGAAUGCCAGUAACUGAAAUGGGACAUAGUAUUGGUUCUCAAGCUCUGUUAAAAUUUGGUGGUGAAUAAUGGGAUGCAGUACCAGGGAGUAAUUUGGGAGCCGCUGACCACUCCAGCAGGAAAGCAUUUAGAAAUCACUGCUUUUAAGAAAUAAUACGGGAAUUUCUUACUUUCCUAGUUUUCCUGGCAUUUUAUAGAUUGAUGUACAGGAGGUUCCCAGAGAGGAUUUUUAUGAAGGUUAAGCUUUGUAAAGUGUGUAGGGCAUUUGGGCUUUUAUUCACAGCCCAACUGGCCCAUGUACCUCAGUUUACUACGGUUGGUAUUCACUGUGAGUCUAGAAAAUUAACGUGUUUACUGUGAUCUUAGGCAUUUGGCUGAUACCAUGUUUUUAACUGUGAUCUUCUGAGGUAGGUGGUAUCAUCUGUUUCUCUCUUUCUUUUUUAAAGCAGAGGAAGAUAACAAACAUGAAGGGUUUAAGUCAAGGUCACACGUGUCGUACAUGGAAUCCAGACCUGAAUUUCUUCCUGAGGGGGACUUCUGGCCUGCACAUUGUCAGAGCUUACAAAAUGGCUGGAAGAUUAUCCGGGAACUUGAAGAACUGCAUUUUCCUCAUUACACCACUAGGUGAUGUACCAACUCAUGAACUCAGACGUCCAGAGACUUAUAUACAGAAUUGUUUGAAAAGGCCAUCAGAAGUCAUCUGGUCCAACUUCAUUAAAAGUUUUUCUUUUUUUUAAUGGAAAG
This is a long non-coding RNA of Ochotona curzoniae (black-lipped pika), 1542 nucleotides long. RefSeq lists it as uncharacterized. The transcript is spliced from 2 exons. The record is from RefSeq and is a predicted model, not a curated record. NCBI's taxonomy places the organism in Eukaryota, Metazoa, Chordata, Mammalia, Lagomorpha, Ochotonidae.